AUUAACUUUGUGGUUGAAGGGAGCAGCGUCAGAAACUGCUUUAGCACAGUGGGAGGAAAACAAACAGAUUCAUCUCCAGAAACCAAAGGAAAGGAUUCUCACUCUGUUGUCCAGGCUGGAAUGCAGUGGCACGAUCUCAGCUCACUGCAACCUCUACCUCUUGGGCUCAAGUGAUCCUCCCACCUCAGCCUCCCAAGUAGGUGUUUUCCUGGUUUUUCAGAGCUGAGAAGUGAGCUGUCUUCCAACUCACCUGCAUAGGUGGAAGUCUUCCCAGAUGCUGUGCUUGAAUCUCUAAUUUGAUAUAUUUACAAGACUUGCAGAGGCUGUGAGCUGUGUGAAUACAUUGCACAUAAGAACUACAGAUGUUUUAAAGCCUUCUGUGAAAGUGAUUCUGAAGGUGUGGUCCCUGGGCCAGCAGCAUCAACAUCACCUGGAACUUGUGAGAAAUGAAGAUUCUCAGGCUCUUCUCUAUACCUACUGAAUCAGACAUUGGGUGCAAAGGGGAACACUACAGUCUGUCUUUAAGGAGCCCUCAAGAUCGCAUCAUCUUCAGAGGCAG
Long non-coding RNA from Homo sapiens (human), 559 nucleotides. The record is from Ensembl. Lineage: Eukaryota; Metazoa; Chordata; Mammalia; Primates; Hominidae.